This 492-nucleotide ribosomal RNA is filed under the name uncultured bacterium. RNAcentral's name for it is "partial 16S ribosomal RNA". It matches the Rfam family "Bacterial small subunit ribosomal RNA", at positions 29 to 507 of the family's 1533-position model. The record is from RNAcentral.
AGUGAACGCUGGCGGUAGGCCUAACACAUGCAAGUCGAACGGCCGCACAGUAAGAGCGUGCUCUUACGGGUGGCGGGUGGCGGACGGGUGAGGAAUACAUCGGACUCUACUUUUACGUGGGGGAUAACGACGGGCAACUUACGCUAAUACCUCAUACGUCCAACGGGUGAAAGCAGGGGAUCUUGGGACCUUCCCCGAUUCAAUGAGCCGGUGCCGGUUUAGCUAGUUGGAGGGGUAAAGGCCCACCAAGGCGACGAUCCCUAGCUGGUCUGACAGGAUGAUCAGCCACACUGGAACUGAGCAACGGCCCAGACUCCUACGGGAGUGAGCAGUGAGGAACAUUGGCCAAUGGGCGCAAGCCUGAUCCAGCCAUACCGCGUGCGUGAAGAAGGCCUUCGGGUUGUAACGCACUCUUGUUGGGAAAGAACAGCAGCAGCCUAAUAUCCCCCUGUUCUGACGGUACCCAAAGAAUAAGCAGCGGCUAACUUCGUG